CCUACGGGAGGCUGCAGUGGGGAAUAUUGGACAAUGGGGGCAACCCUGAUCCAGCCAUGCCGCGUGUGUGAAGAAGGCCCUCGGGUUGUAAAGCACUUUCAGUGAGGAAGAACGCCUGGUGGUUAAUACCCAUCAGGAAAGACAUCACUCACAGAAGAAGCACCGGCUAACUCCGUGCCAGCAGCCGCGGUAAUACGGAGGGUGCGAGCGUGAAUCGGAAUUACUGGGCGUAAAGCGCGCGUAGGUGGCUUGAUAAGCCGGUUGUGAAAGCCCCGGGCUCAACCUGGGAACGGCAUCCGGAACUGUCAAGCUAGAGUGCAGGAGAGGAAGGUAGAAUUCCCGGUGUAGCGGUGAAAUGCGUAGAGAUCGGGAGGAAUACCAGUGGCGAAGGCGGCCUUCUGGACUGACACUGACACUGAGGUGCGAAAGCGUGGGUAGCAAACAGGAUUAGAUACCCCAGUAGUC
RNAcentral lists this ribosomal RNA (465 nucleotides) under Vreelandella stevensii. RNAcentral describes it as "partial 16S ribosomal RNA". It matches the Rfam family "Bacterial small subunit ribosomal RNA", at positions 338 to 795 of the family's 1533-position model. Lineage: Bacteria; Pseudomonadati; Pseudomonadota; Gammaproteobacteria; Oceanospirillales; Halomonadaceae. The record is from RNAcentral.